AUGGACUUUGGAAUUGAUGGUUUCCUCUCUCUCUCCUUCUCUCUCCUCUGCUUUGUCCCCACUUUUCAAGUUUACCUCUGCCCUUCACAGUCCCACUCAAGUCCUGCCUCCCUCAGGGAGACCUCCCAGACCUCACCAAGCCGAGGGCACGUGGACCAGAAGCCGUGGACCCCAGAAGCUCCUUUAGGGGUCUGCUUUCUGAACUCAGGUCCUGACAUCUGCACUGCAGCGAGCAUUUCUGGUGCCUCAAAUGCAUCACUCUCACUUCCGGGUCAUUGCUCAGCACAUGAAGGGUGUUUUUAUCAGGGGUGUUAGGUGCGGUCUCCAUGCUUGCUGUCCAUACCCUCAGCUCCCAGGUUUCCACCAGGGUCACCCACAGGGAGAGUGCAGCGGCCUCUGUAUCCCCAUGAGCCCAGCUCACCCUCUCUAAGGGACAGGGAACACCAGCCUCACAGCAGUGGGUGGCAGCACCUGGCCCUUCUUCUGUCAUCUUCCUGUCAUAAUCAGCUCACUGAGAAGCAAUGGAGCGCUGAGUGCCAGCAACCCCCAGCCCCGGAGGAGCUGCCUCAUAGACAGCUUGGCAGUGGCCUCGGCACAGAGCAGGGGCAAGGGUGGGGCCCACCUGCACUUCCUGACUGCCUAAGUGCUUGUUGAUUGGAAAGCGCUGCCUCAGAGCGAGGAUGCCUGAGUUUGAAUCAGGAGCUGCUGCUAAUUAGCUGUGUGAUCUCAGGUAAGUGACUCAACAUCUCUGUGCAAUGGUCUUCCUUAUGGGGUUCUCAUGAAGAUUAGUUAAUAUUAUAAAGUUAGCCCCCCCACCAGGCAGAGAUGAUGUGGAGGGGCUGCCGCCAGCCAGGAUGAUGGAGGAAAGGGGGAAAUGUUGAGCAGGCUGUGGGCCUCAGGCCUGUCCCUGCUGCUGGCUUCACCAUCUUCUUCCUGCUGUGCCACUGCCCAUGCCAAGGCCCCACACACGCUCACCCUUACUUAGGCCCCAGGCAAGGCAGAGGCUGGCUGUGAUGCACCCUGGGUCACCCUGCCAGUGAUCCACAGCACUCCCCUCCACAGCCACAGGCUCACCCUUGGCAAGAGCUAUGUGUGCCCUGGAGCCUGUGCCUCCGCCAUUGUGCCAAGCUCCUCCUUCUCCUGGUCCUGAUUCCCAGAGGGCCGAGGUCAAGCCGCCUUGCCGAGUCUCUCUCUCCCAUGGCCCCUCAAUGCCAGCUCCUCCCUGGCCAAUGCUCCAUGACCAAAAUCACCUGUUCCGACCUCCAAUGCCCAGGCCCCACUCCAGGAGUCUCCAGGUGCCUGUACUCACUGCUGUGCCUAUGUGACCCGAUGCCAACCUCUGCCCUCUCCAUCUGGAGUUAAAGCUCCCCACUCUGCUGCUGUCAGGCCGAGGACCUGAUGUGCUGUCCCCAGCCCGUGGUGGCACACAGCCCCUGGGCUCCCCUGCACUCUGUGCCCCUGCUCCCAUGCUGCUUCCUGAGGCCUGCUGGCUCUUAUCUCCAGUCCGGGCCUGGCCUGGCAGCAGAGCCCUGUUUCUUCCCAGGGUCAUGGCUCUUACUGGUCC
RNAcentral lists this long non-coding RNA (1564 nucleotides) under Callithrix jacchus (white-tufted-ear marmoset). RNAcentral describes it as "lncRNA (ENSCJAG00000072335.1)". The record is from RNAcentral. Lineage: Eukaryota; Metazoa; Chordata; Mammalia; Primates; Cebidae.